RNAcentral lists this long non-coding RNA (743 nucleotides) under Physcomitrium patens. RNAcentral's name for it is "long non-coding RNA (PPAT_LNC010508)". The record is from RNAcentral. Lineage: Eukaryota; Viridiplantae; Streptophyta; Bryopsida; Funariales; Funariaceae.
AUUUGGUAGAUAUAGAUACUUUUACUUUUAGAUGUGGAGUUGACCUUUUUGUUAGUGAGAAAUUUCAACAUUUUGAAGACACAUACCCCUCUAUUUCAAAGUAUAUGUCUCUCCAAAAUGACAAUCUUGAUAGAAUUUUUUGGAAUUAAAUAUGUUCCAAUCCACAAAUCAGUGUCUUAAAUGAAUCAUGGCAUAUUUGUCAAAUGUUAAUUGUUUAGGAUAGUGAUAUCUUGUUUAAAGAUUAGUAUAUUAGAAUAGUCAAAAAUCAUAAAUUAUCAUUUUUUAAUUUACAUAAUACUAGUUGAUGCCUUUCUUUCAUAGAAAAUGAUACAUGUACUUCAUUCCAUAGCCUAUAAAUUCUAUACCAACCUUAGUUAUAAUAUGUCAUGAGAAAAGAUCUAAAAAGGAUAUAAGACCCAAUAGGGCACGGAUUUUGUAUGUUCAACCUAUCCUUUGGCCUACUUUCAAUCAUUCUUUCUAUCCAUCUAAUUAUUUUCAUAUUCUUUAGUUAAGUGGCUAAGUUUGUAGUAGUUCAGAUACCCAAAAUUACUUUGUAUUAAUAUACCAAAAAUGAUGGUGUUUAAGUAUGUUUCACCAAAAUCUAUGACUUGGAAUUUAAAGGUUUAAUAUGCUCUUUAUAUACAAUUAUAGUUUUUGAAUCCUAGAAUAUGAAUUAGGUACUAAAAUACAUCAACACAUGCACCAUCGGAUUGAUGAUUUGACAAUUAACAUCUUUCAUUUGG